CCCUUAGAUGUUCUGGGCUGCACGCGCGCUACACUGAAGCGUUCAACGAGUAUUCACCUUGCCCGGGAGGGUUGGGUAAUCUUUUGAAAACGCUUCGUGAUGGGGAUAGAUUAUUGCAAUUAUUAAUCUUCAACGAGGAAUUCCUAGUAAGCGCGAGUCAUCAGCUCGUGCUGAUUACGUCCCUGCCCUUUGUACACACCGCCCGUCGCUCCUACCGAUUGAACGGUUUAGUGAGGGCAUCGGACUGGUCUCGGCCCGCCCUUCACCGGUGCGGCGCCGCCGGCCGGGAAGACGCUCGAACUUGAUCGUUUAGAGGAAGUAAAAGUCGUAACA
Molecule: ribosomal RNA, 333 nt
Filed under: uncultured eukaryote
Lineage: Eukaryota
Description: partial 18S ribosomal RNA
Rfam family: Eukaryotic small subunit ribosomal RNA
Source: RNAcentral